AACGAACGCUGGCGGCAGGCUUAACACAUGCAAGUCGAACGGUUGUAGCAAUACAGCAGUGGCGCACGGGUGAGUAACGCGUGGAUAUCUGCCUUUUGGUUCGGAAUAACUCCGGGAAACUGGAGCUAAUACCGGAUGGUUCCUACGGGAUAAAGAUUUAUCGCCAAAAGAUGAGUCCGCGUACGAUUAGCUAGUUGGUGGGGUAAUGGCCCACCAAGGCGACGAUCGUUAGCUGGUCUGAGAGGACGAUCAGCCACACUGGGACUGAGACACGGCCCAGACUCCUACGGGAGGCAGCAGUAGGGAAUAUUGGACAAUGGGGGCAACCCUGAUCCAGCCAUGCCGCGUGAGUGAUGAAGGCCUUCGGGUUGUAAAGCUCUUUUGGCGGGGACGAUGAUGACGGUACCCGAAGAAUAAGCCCCGGCUAACUUCGUGCCAGCCGCCGCGGUAA
Molecule: ribosomal RNA, 451 nt
Filed under: uncultured bacterium
Lineage: Bacteria
Description: partial 16S ribosomal RNA
Rfam family: Bacterial small subunit ribosomal RNA
Source: RNAcentral